Molecule: ribosomal RNA, 498 nt
Filed under: uncultured bacterium
Lineage: Bacteria
Description: partial 16S ribosomal RNA
Rfam family: Bacterial small subunit ribosomal RNA
Source: RNAcentral
ACUCAAAUGAAUAGACGGGGGCCCGCACAAGCGGAGGAACAUGUGGUUUAAUUCGAUGAUACGCGAGGAACCUUACCUGGGUUUGAACGUAGAACGACUGGCGCUGAAAGGUGUCUUCCCUUCGGGGCGGUCUACGAGGUGCUGCAUGGUUGUCGUCAGCUCGUGCCGUGAGGUGUCGGCUUAAGUGCCAUAACGAGCGCAACCCCUAUCGUUAGUUGCCAGCGGGUUAUGCCGGGGACUCUAACGAAACUGCCAGCGUAAGCUGUGAGGAAGGUGGGGAUGACGUCAAAUCAGCACGGCCCUUACAUCCAGGGCUACACACGUGUUACAAUGGCCAUUACAAAGGGCAGCUACACCGCGAGGUGAUGCUAAUCUCUAAAAAUGGUCUCAGUUCGGAUUGGAGUCUGCAACUCGACUCCAUGAAGCUGGAUUCGCUAGUAAUCGCGCAUCAGCCACGGCGCGGUGAAUACGUUCCCGGGCCUUGUACACACCGCCCGU